RNAcentral lists this transfer-messenger RNA (372 nucleotides) under Actinomycetota bacterium. RNAcentral describes it as "Actinobacteria bacterium transfer-messenger RNA". It matches the Rfam family "transfer-messenger RNA". From Rfam's summary of the family: Bacterial tmRNA, also known as 10Sa RNA or SsrA, is named for its dual tRNA and mRNA-like properties. Its role is to liberate the mRNA from a stalled ribosome. The record is from RNAcentral. Lineage: Bacteria; Bacillati; Actinomycetota. RNAcentral also lists the same sequence under 1 other name.
GGGGGUGAACGGUCUCGACUUUAGUUGUUGAGUCAGGUGAAGCGGGCCGAGGAAGCCGGGAUGAUCUCGUAAACCAUGAAACCCGCGCAACACAUAAGUGCAGAUGCAAAUCGCACUGAUUUCGCUAUCGCUGCAUAAGCGGUAAGUGAAUCCGUUAACCCAAGAGUGCUCUCGGCUUGGAUGUUAGCGUCGCUAGAGAGCUCACUUGAUAAUGGUGUUACAGACAUUGUCGGGGAAAUAAAUCUGUAACUGAGUUCGUUGACUACAUGUGUUUGUGAGAGUCAGGACUGAGAAAGCGACUAGAACACUACGCCCGUAGAAGCCCUGAUUUUGCUCUAGAGGACCCGGGUUCGAUUCCCGGCACCUCCACCA